GAUGUCAUCUUCAUUCCCUCUGAUAUGCUUAUUUUCUGUUUGCAGGACCUGAAGCUGAUCUGCUGCCUCGAGUGGUGCGUUCAAGUGCCUGUCAAGAACACAACAGCCUACACACUCGCCUGGAUGUAGUGGAGAAGAAAGUGGAGGACACAGUGGAGAAGUUGGAGGUUGAGCUGGCUGCUCUCCUGGAAGCCAUUGAAGCCCCAAAGUGGAGCUCCCUGCUGGACAAUACAGGAACACCAGCAGUGGAUAUCCUGGAAGACCCCGAGUGGAGGUCCUAAAGCGGAGCCAUUUAUAUUCAUGUUAUUCCUAUAGUCUAAGACACUCCGAAAACAAUAUGGUGAACUCUCUCCUAAAUCUAAAAAACGAGAGUUCGAAAAACCUAAAUGUGUGCUGUCGUCAAGUUUAGGCGACUGUUAGAGGUGGUGGGGUCGUCUGAAGGUUUGGGGUUUGAUCCCAGCCUAUACAGUCAACAUGUUGAUCUUUCCUUGGGCUAGAUACUUCCUCCUAUGACCAACUCUGAGCAUCUCUGAAUGUUAGUUUCCUCAAGGUCUUUGAGGGAUCAUAAAGACUGGAGAAGCACCUUAUAAAUGCAAUCAUUCAAUCAACAUUUACCAUUGUACAAAGUGUGGAACUGCUCAUAAGUAAAUUACUAUAUUAAAAAAAGAUCUCUCCUUCAUUCUUUAGAGCUGAUCAGACUAUACUUGAUGACAUCACAAGUUGAAAGCUUUUCAGGUGUCUGGCUUUGAGAGGGACUAGCUCAUGUUCACAUUGAUUGAUUUAACUUUCUUAGGUCAUGGAAAUAAUAUGUGAAUGUUUUUACUUUACGUGGUCCCUUGAAAUAAAUGUUAACUUGUUUUUA
Molecule: long non-coding RNA, 862 nt
Organism: Notothenia coriiceps (black rockcod)
Lineage: Eukaryota; Metazoa; Chordata; Actinopteri; Perciformes; Nototheniidae
Exons: 3
Source: RefSeq, a predicted model, not a curated record